Long non-coding RNA from Magnolia sinica, 1277 nucleotides. RefSeq lists it as uncharacterized. The record is from RefSeq and is a predicted model, not a curated record. Lineage: Eukaryota; Viridiplantae; Streptophyta; Magnoliopsida; Magnoliales; Magnoliaceae. The transcript is spliced from 11 exons.
CGUUUCAACUCUCUGUAAACGGGGCACAAAUCGUUGUAUGCUUGGAUAAACCCAUUGUAUCAUCCAUCUAGUUGACCCUUCUUUGGUGGACCAACACAUAUAAAUUCACAAUGACUGGGGAAUUUUCCCCUGUUGACCAUUUUUGUUUUCAGUCAUCUAUUCGAUCAAAUGGCCAGGACGAUUAUGUCAGUUUGACUUUUGAACUAUGGUCAAAAGUCAAACUGAGGGCUAUAUAAUUUGAUUGGUCUGUUUUCAGAUGAAUGUGUGUUAUGUGUAUGGUGGACGAGACAACAUAAAGUGAAGAGUGCUGGUGAAUGGCCUGGAUCUCCAACUGAGGUUCCCAGAGCAGAUUCAGAUGGGUAUCCAAUCUAAGUGUAGUUUGAAAUCAUCCAAUCACCCUGCCAUGUUUACUUUGUUUUUGUUGAUAAACUGAUGGUGUUCAUGGGAGAAAUUGAAGCAUUCUGUUUCCAUGGUUACAGCAGUCAAGCCAAGGAAUAAUAUCAGAAGAGUUGAUUAAUCACCUCAUGAGUAUUCUUGGUCACGUAAUGCAGCUCAAAACAUUGAAGGUCAAGGGCAUUGAGUACAGAGUAUAACUCUCUCCCAAAUGAAUCUUCCCAACCAUUUGACUGUGAUUGAGAUGAAUUUGUCAUGGUCUCAAGAGCUGAUGUGAAUCCUACGCGAUUGAGGAAUUCAUGAUUUCAACGUGAUUCAUGACAAGCGAUGAGUACAUAGUCCACUUCAGCUUAUGGGCUAUUUCAAAGUUCGCUAUCAUCUUGAUGAGGACCCAAAGACUUUGAAGGUGUUUCCCAUUCCACUUCAUGAUGCCAGUGGCUCAACUCUGCAUUAUGACCGGCUUAGCAUUUCACCUGAUGGAAAGAUAUUGGCAGCAACCCAUGGUUCCACAUUGUAAUGGUCAUGUGCUGAAACUGGAAAGGUUUUGGAUACAUCUGAAAAAUCACAUGAAGGUGUAUUUGGGUGGACAAUACGUAAACAAUCCUACACUGUCAGAUGUUACGUUUCUAGUUGAAGGGAUUUGAGUGAGAAUGAGUUAGUCGGGACAAUUCCACCAAUACUAGGCAAUCUGUCCUAUACUGGCAAGCUGUACCUACACAGUAACAAGCUCACUGGGCCAAUUCCACCCGAAUUGGGGAACAUGUCCAAGCUAAGCUAUCUGCAAUUGAACAACAAUGAACUGGUAGGUAGCAUUCCGGCCGAGCUUGGACAGCUGGAGUGAUCUGACAGUGGGAAUAUUGCCAACAACAACCUUGAAGGACCAA